GUGAGGAAUAUUGCGCAAUGGAGGCAACUCUGACGCAGCCAUGCCGCGUGCAGGAAGAAGGCGCUACGCGUUGUAAACUGCUUUUAACCGGGAAGAAACCCCAGGACGUGUCCUGGGUUGACGGUACCGGAGGAAUAAGCACCGGCUAACUUCGUGCCAGCAGCCGCGGUAAUACGAAGGGUGCAAGCGUUAUCCGGAUCCAUUGGGUUUAAAGGGUGCGUAGGCGGAGCGUUAAGUCAGUGGUGAAAUCCUGCAGCUUAACUGUAGACUUGCCAUUGAUACUGGCGCUCUUGAGUGCGCUUGAAGUGGGCGGAAUGUGCCGUGUAGCGGUGAAAUGCUUAGAUAUGGCACAGAACACCAAUUGCGAAGGCAGCUCACUAAGGCGAUACUGACGCUGAGGCACGAAAGCGUGGGGAGCGAACAGGAUUAGAAACCCUUGUAGUCC
This 445-nucleotide ribosomal RNA is filed under the name uncultured bacterium. RNAcentral describes it as "partial 16S ribosomal RNA". It matches the Rfam family "Bacterial small subunit ribosomal RNA", at positions 354 to 796 of the family's 1533-position model. The record is from RNAcentral.